GGCUCCCGCGAGGGGGAGGUGAAAGCGGCUGCGCGCACUCGCGCGUGCGUGAGCUGGCGCGCGAGGAAAGGCCCGGUCGCGCCGAGGCUCGAGCGGCGGUCGCCAUUUUGUAAGGUUCUCUCUGACGCGGGAGCCGCCGCCACCGCCGCCGCCAUCCGGAGGCUCUUGUCAGGAUGGUGAAGCUGUUCAUCGGAAACCUGCCCCGCGAGGCCACAGAGCAGGAGAUCCGCUCACUCUUCGAGCAGUAUGGGAAGGUGCUGGAAUGUGACAUCAUUAAGAAUUACGGCUUCGUGCACAUAGAGGACAAGACGGCGGCCGAGGAUGCCAUCCGAAACCUGCACCACUACAAGCUUCAUGGGGUGAACAUCAAUGUGGAAGCCAGCAAGAAUAAGAGCAAAGCUUCAACCAAGUUACACGUGGGCAACAUCAGUCCCACUUGUACCAACCAAGAGCUUCGGGCCAAGUUUGAGGAGUAUGGUCCAGUCAUCGAAUGUGACAUCGUGAAAGAUUACGCUUUUGUCCACAUGGAGCGGGCCGAGGAUGCAGUGGAGGCCAUCAGGGGCCUGGACAACACAGAGUUCCAAGGCAAAAGAAUGCACGUGCAGUUGUCCACCAGCCGGCUUCGGACUGCUCCUGGGAUGGGGGACCAGAGCGGCUGUUACCGGUGCGGGAAAGAGGGGCACUGGUCCAAAGAGUGUCCGGUGGACCGCACGGGGCGCGUGGCAGACUUUACGGAGCAGUACAAUGAACAGUACGGCGCGGUGCGCACGCCCUACACCAUGGGCUACGGGGAGUCCGUGUACUACAACGACGCCUACGGCGCCCUCGACUACUACAAGCGCUACCGCGUGCGCUCCUACGAGGCCGUGGCGGCUGCGGCGGCCGCCUCCGCCUACAACUACGCAGAGCAGUCCAUGUCCCACCUGCCCCAAGUCCAGAGCUCGGCCGUGACCAACCACCUCAACUCCACCUCGGUGGAUCCCUACGACAGACACCUAUUGCAGAACUCGGGGGCGGCCGCCACCUCAGCCGCCAUGGCCGCCUCCUCUUCGUCUUACUACGGAAGGGACAGGAGCCCGCUGCGCCGCUCGGCAGCCGCGCUCCCGGCAGUCGGCGAGGGCUACGGGUAUGGGCCAGAGAGCGAGCUGUCUCAGGCCUCCGCAGCUGCACGGAAUUCUCUGUAUGACAUGGCCCGGUAUGAGCGAGAGCAGUAUGUGGACCGAACACGGUACUCAGCCUUUUAAAAACUGGAGGUGAGAGUGGGGUGGGCGUAGUUAAGAUUGCACCUAGUUCCCUUGCAAGAGAACUUUUCUUCAUCGAGGAGGCUCCAGCCACUUGUUUGCUGUCAGAACUGUACCCAAAAACUAGUUUUGCAUAUUUCUGCAGCUUAGGCCUGUUACACGGGUUUGUUUGGCCUUGUUGGGGUUUUAGUGCUUGGCCCAGUUCGUUAGUGUGAACAUUCUUUAAUCAGUUGUUUAAGCAGAUUUGGGGCACGGGAUACAUUUGAGGGAACUAGUAGUUGUCAGGUACCCGUGGUGCAUACUGUCAUCUAGACAAUAAGGAUUUUGGCCGACAGACAAGACCCGGGGCUCAGAGACAUUCAGUACUUUGUCCUAAGUCAUUGGGUAAAUGAGAGGUAGAGCCCAAAUUCAAACUCAGACCAAGCUAAAACUCAUGUUCUUUCCACUGUGAAGGUCACUGUAGUCUUAAGCAGAAAGGAACUACUGAUGCUAUCACAGGAAGAAUGUUAACUAAUUUUAGGCAUCCAGUUUAAAACUGUUUCUUGGGUCAUUAAGACUUCAUCAAAGUAUCCUAUCUGCAAGCUAGAUCAAGUCCUAUAAAGGUUUCAUUCUGUGAUGCUUGCUUCAGUGCCAAACAUUCCGAUGCUGUCCUGUGUAGUCCUUUUCCUCACUCAGAUCCUAAACCUCUGUAAGCCCUCUCUCUGAAGCCUGUGCUACGUGUCCCAUUUCCUUCUGCAGUUGUUUUUGUAGAGAAUACUUAAGGAAUUAGAUAAACUGGUAAUUUUCUGACAUGCAAAAAAAAAUCCCAUAGGUAGGAACUGAAAUUUUAAUGUUUCCUUUGAAAUAUGUACCAAAGGUAUUAGAAUGGCAAGAAUAAGUAGGAGUGUGUAGAGAUGGGCCAAAUCAUCAAAAUGCAUAUGGCAGCAUGACAACUUUAUAUACUCAUGGUUUUCUUUGUACUUUGAAAUUGAGCAUCCCUUCGAAGCCACUGAGCUUCCAGAUUCCUAACUUACCUCCUCCCCUCUCUUGAUGUAUGUGUGUACAAGAAAACAAAGUUACAGCAACUUGCUCUUUGUAAAGUGAGAAGCAAAUGUGACCCGAACGUUGAUAAAUUAUAUGUCCUACAUGAUUACAUUAGUAAGACUUGGGAUUUCCUGAGACCGUGUGCAGCACUGUGUCCAUCUUAGAACCUGUGGAGUUUGCUGUUAAUUUUCACAGUUGGAUCUACCAUGAGAUACCUAUGAAGUGUGAACCUCAGAUGGACUGAAUAACCCUGAGUUGGUUGCAGUCCCAGGAGCCUGAUGUUAAUGAGGCUGCCAGAAUGAAAUACUCCAGAACUGUUGGGGAUCCAAAUUUGGGUCUCACCCUAGCAGAACUGAUCCAAGAACAUCACAACUUUUGAAGUGGAUUGGCAAAGAUCAAGACCAAGAUUUGGCUCUUUGUGUGUAAUAAGUAGAGGAACUUGGUGUGAGUUAACUUUUUUGUUUUUCUCCCUCCCAGCCAUUGGUGGAGUUCCUGUCAUCAAUGGAAGAAUUAGAAAAACCUAGCAGUCAUUUCUUCUUUUGACUUGGUCAAUUAGGGGAACUACUGGCACUAUGGAUCUACCUCUAAUACUGUGACAUGUAGUUGUGUGUGUUGUAGAUGGACAAACGACAAACCACUUGUGACAAACCCUUUGUGACUAUCAUUUCAGAAAGUUUAUGUGAAAGAUUAGAAUGAUACAUUUAGAAUAGUGCAGCUGAGCUAGGCCCAGUGGGGUGUAGGUAUAGUCAUAACUACUUGGAAGGUCAGCUUGAGCUCAAGAAUUCAUAGCUAAACUGGGCAACAUGGUAUGGCCGUGUUCUGUCUUUAAAAAGAGCAGGCAGGGUUGCUUACACGACUCUUUGGCUGGGGGUGUGGCUCAAGCACAGGCCCCAAGUUCAAACUCAAAGGAAAAAGCAAAUGGAGCAGUUGACUAUCUGAGAUCUCAGCACCUUCUGCUUUUCCUGAAUUCCCAAAUUAGCCUGAAAUUCUUGAUCAUGUAUGCCUUUUGUUGAAACCUGCUUAAAACAUGGGUAAGAAAAUGAGAAAGUGGAACUUACCACCACCACAGAAGUCUUCCACUUAGAUUGCAUAUUGUUCUAUACAUUGCUGUAAGUGGUUCUUAUAGAUAGCUAUUAAGAGUCCUGGGUUAAUUUUGUGGGAUACAUUUGAUACAGUCUGACUUGGUUUUGUUUUGUUCUUUGUUUUUCCCCGCCCCCGCUGGAAUACAGGACGUGACCAGGGCCCUUGUACACGGAGCCAGGCUGCUGUCCAGGCAUUGUGUAAGCCUCUUGUGUUGUGCUCUCUUUCAGGUAGGAUAAUUGCGGACUGAACCCUCGGGCUGCGGUCAUAUAUGAGAACUUGCUCCGCGCGGUCCCCUUUGCCGGGAUGUUUCCAUUGCUUCAUGUUUCAGUAAACAAAGGAGUUUGUGACCAACUAUGUUUUCUUUCUUAAUUUAAUUCUUCUAAGUUGACUUUUCUUUCCUUCCUGAUGCUAGUAUCUGUAGCUUUUCACUGUUCCUUAUAUCCUCAGCCUCUGAACAGCCCUAGGUAAGGAUUAUGCUGGCAUCCCCUUCCUCCAUGCAGUGGAGCCCUCUGAUCUUGCUUUCCCUAGGAGUUGAGCCCUUCUCCCUGCCUACCUGCAGCAUCUCCUUUCCCUUUAAAAUGACCAUGUAGUGGCAAGCAGCCCUUGCUCUUCUUUGUUAGCUCUGGACUCUAACAUGGAAGCUAAUCUUUGAAAUUGCUAGGACCAUUGGGGGUUUUGUUGUUGUUUUGUUUGUUUUGUUUUUUGUCUUACCUGUGAUCGUGAUACAGCAUUAGCUGAAAUUUAGCCUUGUUUUACUCCACUCCUCCCAUUUUUUUAUUUUUUGACAAAUAAACGUUUCUAAC
Molecule: RNA transcript, 4150 nt
Organism: Dipodomys ordii (Ord's kangaroo rat)
Lineage: Eukaryota; Metazoa; Chordata; Mammalia; Rodentia; Heteromyidae
Gene: Rbm4b
Gene name: RNA binding motif protein 4B
Exons: 4
Source: RefSeq, a predicted model, not a curated record